GGAAGAAUAAGCACCGGCUAACUACGUGCCAGCAGCCGCGGUAAUACGUAGGGUGCGAGCGUUAAUCGGAAUUACUGGGCGUAAAGCGUGCGCAGGCGGUUUGCUAAGACCGAUGUGAAAUCCCCGGGCUCAACCUGGGAACUGCAUUGGUGACUGGCAGGCUAGAGUAUGGCAGAGGGGGGUAGAAUUCCACGUGUAGCAGUGAAAUGCGUAGAGAUGUGGAGGAAUACCGAUGGCGAAGGCAGCCCCCUGGGCCAAUACUGACGCUCAUGCACGAAAGCGUGGGGAGCAAACAGGAUUAGAUACCCUGGUAGUCCACGCCCUAAACGAUGUCAACUAGUUGUUGGGGAUUC
RNAcentral lists this ribosomal RNA (353 nucleotides) under Burkholderia sp. RNAcentral's name for it is "bacterial SSU rRNA". It matches the Rfam family "Bacterial small subunit ribosomal RNA", at positions 480 to 832 of the family's 1533-position model. Lineage: Bacteria; Pseudomonadati; Pseudomonadota; Betaproteobacteria; Burkholderiales; Burkholderiaceae. The record is from RNAcentral.